UAAAACUGCUGAGAUAUUUUGGUGGUAAAUGUUGCUAUGUUUUGACUUUUUAAGUCCCGCCCACAAUUCCUGUUGGUCAAUCUGAAGGGUCCGUCAUCCAGGGCUUCCAGAGUCUGCUGCUUUGAUCAGCUCAAGGAGUUCCAGAACCCAAAAUUCACAGGGAGAAAAACGGAGACCAGAACCUGCGGGUAAAAUUUACUGUCCUGAGUACAGGAGAGCUAAUCAUUGAGAGAACCCAUUUCAGCACACACACACACACACACACACACACACACACACACACACACACACACACACACACACACACACACACACACACACACACACACACACACACACACACACACACACACACACACACACACACACACACACACACACACAAGCACUGAUAUGUGUGUGUGUGUGAUUUUCCCUGCCCCUCUUGGUCAGGCUUCAGUGUGGAUGAAGCGGGUCGGAGUUUGCUGAUGAUUGGGAAUGUAACAGUGAGGGAUUCGGGAUUGUACAUGUGUACAGCGGAGAUCAGCGUCGGCUCUGUUCGAGCAUUAGCAUUCAUCCAUAUCACAGAGCCUGCAGUUCUGAAAGUAGAUGGCCAUGUGUCUCAGUUUGUCUCUCAUGGUGCUGUAAUUGUGUUGGAUUGUUCUGUUAGAGGAACUCCAGCUCCGGUGUUGUGCUGCUGCAGGUCACUGAGCGUCUUCAUCUAACAGCUCUCCAACAGCUCACUCAUUCUGUACAGCGCCAUGAGCAGGGAUUCAGGAGAGUAUCUGUGUGUUGCUGAAAAUGAGAUGGGAGGAUGAUAUCUGUGAAAGUAAAGGUUGCAGGCGGUUACUCUCACUGGGAGCAGUGGGAGCCAUGCAGUGUCACAUGUGGGUGUGGCCUCCAACAGUGAAUCAGAUUUUGCAACAACCCAAAACCAACCAAAGGGGGAGCAGCAUGUGAGGGUUAAGAUGUUGAGUCCAGGCAGUGCCAGACAUCCUUAUGUUCAGUGAACAUCAGUGAGAACUCAAAGCAGAUGCAGCAUACUGGAGGUUCACAUGGAGAACGUUCCUCCCAGUGUGGGUCCUUUGCUGAAAGUUGUUGUAUCUGCUUUGACUCCGGUGUACUGGACGGCUGUUCAUGUAUCAGCAGGAAUGAUGAACGGCUUCACCAUCAGCCGCAGGAAUUUCAGACAAGAAUCCUAACUGGAGUUUCACACAGGUAACUUUUCCAGACAGGGUCAGAAUGUAUUUACAUACACCAGAGACGUAAAAAUAAAUAAACUGUAAUAGGACUAAAGCUGUCUGUGUGUGUGUGUGUGUGUGUGUGUGUGUGUGUGUGUGUGUGUGUGUGUGUGUGUGUGUAGGAGAGAUCAUAAGAAUAACCCAUGUGGUGAGAGGUGUGGAUGCAGAGGGAGUUUUGCUAGUCGAUGUGGUCAUUAAUGCAUUUAUUCCUGCAGUGUUUUUAUCCCCAGUGCUACAUCAGCAGGUUCAUUAGAACUUUACAUUAAUCAUCGAUGCAUUAAUAACAUUAAUCAGAUGUGUGGAAUAAAGAUCAUCUUGGGUAAAAAUCCUUGUUUCUAGGACUUUGAUGAGACAUAUGUACAAGUUGGCUCUGGUCAGAUUUACUCCUGGUCUACCCAGAAUUCUUUUCAGCAGGGUGUCAGCUUGGUGCUGAUUCUGCGCUGUAAUCACUUGCUGGAGUUUGAUGGAUCAGUGAAAUGUUUCGCUCCACUACUGAAGCAAAUCUGUCAGACAUCAGCAGCUCCUACAACAUGCUCAACUUCAGGCUGUACUUUCACAUCACAGCCACAUUAUCACUGCCAGGUCAUCACAACCAUACAACAAUACUAAUGACAAUACUCACAUCACAACCAUACAACAAUACUAAUGACUAUACUCACAAAGUCCAUCAAUUUCAUCAUGGUCAUGUUCAGGGCUGAGCAGGAGGAACGACAUACACCAUGUCUGGAACGUCAGUAAAAGUCCAAAAUAAUUCUGUAAAAAAACCUUCAGUUUUGCUACAUAAUUAUAAAAUAGAUCAGGGCAUGCGUGUUUUAGUUUGUGUAGAUGAUGAGGGAGAGAAAUGCCCAGAAGGAUUCUUGCUGGAUGAAGCACUUUACUGUGCUGGUAAAUACUUUUUAAUGAUUUCUGAUCAAAUAAAUUGAAUUAUGUUGUCAUGUCAUGUAUUUUAAACUACAACUAAAGUAGCUGAUAUUGUAGUGUAGGAGAGUUAGGGUUUAGGAUUGGGAUAACAGUUUAGUGUUUAGAUAUGUGAUUAAGGUUCAGGAUUAGGGUUUAGAAUUGGGAUUAAGGUUUAAGACUGGGAUUAGGGUUUAGAAUUGGGAUUAAUGUUCAGGGUUUGGGAUUAGGUUUUAGGAUUAAGGUUUAGAAUUGGGAUUAAUGUUCAGGCUGGAUGAUUAAGGUUUAAGACUGGGAUUAGGGUUUGGAAUUGGGAUUAAUGUUCAGGGUGUAUGAUUAAGAUUUAGGAUUGGGAUUAGGGUUUAGAAUUGGGAUUAAUGUUCAGGGCAUACGGUUAAGGUUUAGGAUUGGGAUUAGGGUUUAGAAUUGGGAUUAAUGUUCAGGGCGUACGAUUAAGGUUUAGGAUUGGGAUUAGGUAAGUAGGGUAUGAUAAUUGUCUAGGAUUUGCAGAUCCUCCUUGUUUAUAGUUACAUGUGGAACAGCAGUGAAAGAAGAUAGUUCCUGUUCUCACUCACAUUAUAGCAACUAUAUACAGUCAUUGGUUCAUACGUUGGCACUGCACCAUGCAGGAGCAUCUCAAUUAUUUCCAAGCUACGUGCAGAUACGACUCUCAAAAUAACUGUAGGAUACGCACAGCAGAUAUCUGCCAAAAGCCUAUGUACAGUUAAAAUCGAGUAUAAUUAGGGUGUUAGUUUGUGUGUUGAUGUGUUUUUAUAUGAUGUUGUGUUUUAGACGAGGAUGAGUGUGUGUGUGUCAGAUUCUCCAUGUUCUCAGUCCUGCAUUAACAUCAUGAGGGGCUUAGCUGCAGCUGUCCAUCAGGAUUCACCAUCAGCACCGAGAGCAGCAACAGCUGUCAAGGUCUCUCUCUCUCUCUCUCUCUCUCUCUCUCUCUCUCUCUCUCUCUCUCUCUCUCUCUCUCUCUCUCUCUCUCUCUCUCUCUCUCUCUCUCUCUCUCUUACACACACACACACAUGCACACACACAUUCACAAACCUUAUAAUUGUAUGUGUGUGUGUGAACGCUGGUUCUGAGUCUCAGCCUGCUGCAUUGCACAUAGCACAUUUUGCCAAGCAGAAGAAUCAGGAACAUGCAGUUAUGUGGGAAACUCUUAUCAAAAUAAAAGAGUAAAUAAUUUUACUUGCCCAGUGGAGUACCUAAUGAAUUUAUCAUGUUUGUUCCACAACUGCAGUGUAUACAUGAUUUAAGUGUCUUGCUGAUUUGCAGUUCAUCACUCCCCUGGCAUUUCCGGUUCCUGGAACGUUCAGGUACGUUCAGGCUUUGCUCACGCUGUAAUGAGGUGAACAUCUCAAGGCUAAUUUAUUGAUUUAUAGUCUUAGAGCAGCGCUGGUGGUGCGUGCAUUGUGGUGAGUUGGCGCCGGAGAUCGCGUUCAGUGAUCGUGACAUUAUCCGGUGGCUGAAUGAUAUGUGUAUGUAGAUGUCUAUGUAUAUGUAUUUAAUAAUAAUAAUACUUUGUUUUAUAAAGUGCCUUUAAAAGCAGCUUCUCAAAGCGCUGUACACAAAUUAAGCAGUACACAGAACAAUAAAUGUAGUGCCUUGUAUGUCAACAACAUGAUCUUAAAAUCGACACGGAACCUGACUGGGAGCCAGUGUAAGGUCAUCAAAACAGGAGUAAUAUGGUCACAUUUCCUGGUUCCCGUCAGGAUGCGGGCAGCAGAGUUUUGAACAUAUUGCAAUUUAUUGAUUGUGGAUUUAGACACUCCGGCUAAAAUGGCAUUACAGUAAUCCAGCCAGGUGACAACAAAUGAGUUAAUCAGUUUUUCAGCUGCAGAGAAGUUUAGCAUUGGGCACAGUCUAGCUGUAUUUCUGAGGUGAAAAAAUUAUGUCUUCACAGUGCUCUGAACAAAAAAAUCAAAUGUGAGGCUGGUAUCAAAAAUUACUCCAAGGUUCCUCAUUUUACUUUGGGUCUCUAGAACAGAGCUAUCAACAAACAAAGACAGUGGAGCCGCUUUGCGAAUGUGAUGACGGGAAACUAUAAGCACAACUUCAGUUUUUCCGCUGUUCAGACACAGAAAGUUAUUAUUCAUCCAUGUUUUUAUUUCAGAAAUACAAUCAGAAAGAUAACAAACAUCAAUGUUUUCACCAGAUUUUGAGUGAAUGUAGAUUUGGGUAUCAUCAGCAUAAAAGUGAUAAUUGUGAUAAAAAGUGAGGCCGAGCGAAUGCAGCAGAUGCCUAAGUGGAGAUAGAUAAAUAUUGAAAAGUAGAGGGCCUAAAACUGAACCCUGAGGAACACCAGUGAGCACAGAGCUAGUGUCAGACCUGUAGCCAUGCACAGAAAUAAACUGGCCAUGGUCAGUAAAAUAGGAUUUAAACCAGUAUAAAACUGUCCCAGACACACCAAAAACACUUUCAAGGCGGGUAAGUAAAAGACCAUGAUCCACAGUAUAGAAAGCAGCUCUAAGAUCAAGAAGAAUAAGAAUGGAAGUACUCCAGAAUCAGAGGCCAUCAACAAGUCAUUGGUGACUUUGACCAACGCCGUUUCAGUGCUGUGAAAUUUACGAAAACCUGACUGAAGGGGUUCAAAGAGGUUAUUAAUUGUAAGAUGAUUACAUAGUUGAGAGGCAACAACACGCUAAAGUAUUUUUGCCAAAAACAGACGAUUUGAGAUGGGACGAAAAUUGUUAAAUCAUCCACGGAAACAUUUUCUUUCUUUGGUACAGGUGUAACAGCAGCAGUCUUUAGUACUGCUGGAAUGACCCGUCUCCAGUGAUUCAUUUAUAAUGCUGAGGAUAGCAGGGCACCAAACAUCGAAGCAUGAUUUAAAUAGGUUCGUGGAAAUUGGAUCCAGCAAGCAAGUGGUUGAUUUCAUGCUGUAUUGCUCCCUUGUGAGAGGCUCAGAAUCAAGCAGUGAGAAAUGAGUGAAAGAAACACCAGUGAACCUAGAUGGACGAAGGAGUGAAGAGGCAGAGUCAGAUGUGACAGAAAGUUCUUUGCGAACAUUAGCAAUCUUAGAAUUAAAAAACCAAAGAAAAGAAUCACAAAGCUGCUGAGAAAUAGGCAAAGUGGUAACAACAUUAACUUGAAGCAAUUUGAUUAUGGUUUGUAACAAGUGUCUGGGAUUAUUUUGAUUAUUUACAAUAUCCUGAGAGAAGUAAGAGGAUCUUUCAGUCUCUAUUAGUGCUCGAAAAUCCCCCAGAACAUCCUUCCAUGCUUGAUAGUAGACAUUCAGUCCAGUAAGGCGCCAUUUACGCUCCAUUUUCCGACAAGCAGCCUUUCUAGAGCGCAGAUUGUCAUUAUACCAGGGAGCAGAGCGGGCGAAUGUGACCUUACGUGACCUUAGAGGAGCAACAGUGUCAAGAUUAGCAGCAAGAGCAGAAUUUAACUGUAGAACUUUCUCCUCCAGCAAUAAGGGAUGUAGAUCGCUUAAGGUGGAAACAACAGAAUUGGAGAAAGCUGUCUGAUCGAUAGUCUUCCACUUCCACUUCCACUAAAAACAAUAUAACUUAAAAAACUUGCAGUUAUUUAAAAAAAUAUGACUUAAAAUAACAAACAAAAACAAACCAAACGGUAACAGGAGCGCCAGCAAAACACGCCAGCAUACCCUGUCACCGGAACCGGAUAUGUAUGUCAAGCCGUGGUACCUGUGAGUAAUCAUACCACUUCCUGUCUGGUGUUUGUUCAACCCAAUGGUAAGUACACCUCUCCCUUUUGACAUUGGGACUUGGUAGAUUUAGUUUGACUCUGAUCUUUGUGUUAAGGUGAGAGUGGUGAAUUGAGCAUCUAAAUCUUCUCUAAGGCCAAUCCCUAGCUGAAGACGCUACAUGUGACUCCGCUCCUGUUUUGCUUGAUCGGUUUCUUGUUUUGUUUUACUUCAUUGUGUUGCUUUACGGUCAUUUUCUAAACUGUUUUGCUUUACCAUUAUUUUCUUUGUUUUACUUAUUGUUUUGCUCUAGUCUUUUAUUUUCUAUUUUUUCAUUGUGCUGUUGUUUUUGUUGACUUUAGUUUUGAAUGCAUGUUUGGUUUAUGUUCUGUAACCACAUGUCGUGUGAGACACUAUUUGGUAAAUCAGUGUUUUCCAGCUUCAAACCUGUUCUUUCAGGUUUGUUUUCCCAUAUAACCACUUUACUAUUGAUGGGGUGUAUGUUAUGCCUUAUUGUCUCCAUGCUAUAGUGGCUUUAUUUUCCAUUUUGUAUUGUUUACCAUAAUUCUGGUUCUGCUUGGGUGCUGUUAACUUCCUCCAUUUCAUGUGGUGGUGUCAGUGGGUCUGGGUGUUAUAGCCACCACACCAGGGUGUCUAAUACUCUUUGCUUUUUUUUCUUUGUUUAUCGUUUAGUGUGUUUGUGCAAUUUUGGG
Ictalurus punctatus (channel catfish) is the source of this 6488-nucleotide long non-coding RNA. RefSeq lists it as uncharacterized. The transcript has 6 exons. The record is from RefSeq and is a predicted model, not a curated record. Lineage: Eukaryota; Metazoa; Chordata; Actinopteri; Siluriformes; Ictaluridae.